Long non-coding RNA from Tripterygium wilfordii, 603 nucleotides. RefSeq lists it as uncharacterized. The transcript is spliced from 2 exons. Lineage: Eukaryota; Viridiplantae; Streptophyta; Magnoliopsida; Celastrales; Celastraceae. The record is from RefSeq and is a predicted model, not a curated record.
AUCACUGAAAGCCACGCUUUGAUGUACCUCUCGUUAUGUGCUUUUGAAGAUCUGGAUAUCAAUUUUAUGUGGGGCGUUCUUGGGUUUUCAAUUAGACCUUGAGGUCUGCUUGAAUAAUGAUAUACCAUGUCACUACAUUGGCUUUCUACUUGACUUCAGGUGUUAUAUUUAUUCCCUUAGUCUUCUCCAGCAAUGGAGAAUGGGUAAACAGCUGAGGUGAGAUUAAUGAUGACAAUAAUGGAUGGGGAAGGCAUUAGUCUGGGUAUCAUUAUCCUCUAGCAGGGCUAGUCACUAGUGGUCCUGACAUGGUGGUUGCUGCUGCUGUUGGUGGUGGGGAGUUGCGGUGCAUGGACAUUACCAAUUAAUUUGGGAGUUGUCAUAUGAACUUCAAUUCCAUCCCUCUUUUUUUUUUCCUUAAUAACUUGAAAGACCGAAAGGAAUGCGGUUGUGGCAGUUCAUUACAAUGUCCUUUGACUUGCAUGAAGUCUGCAAUUUGUGCAAGAGAUGUCUAUUGCAUGACCGUUAAAAAAUCACUAUCAAUGUCGUAACAUAUCUUCAUAGCCACAUUGUUGUAAUUGUGAAUAGAAGGUCUUACACUCACAA